UACGGAGGGUGCGAGCGUUGUCCGGAAUCAUUGGGCGUAAAGCGCGCGUAGGCGGCCCGCUAAGUCUGAUGUGAAAGCCCGGGGCUCACCCCCGGAAGUGCAUUGGAAACUGGUGGACUCGAGUCCCGGAGAGGAGAGUGGAAUUCCUGGUGUAGCGGUGAAAUGCGUAGAUAUCAGGAGGAACACCGGUGGCGAAGGCGGCUCUCUGGACGGUGACUGACGCUGAGACGCGAAAGCGUGGGGAGCAAACAGG
This 253-nucleotide ribosomal RNA is filed under the name uncultured bacterium. RNAcentral describes it as "partial 16S ribosomal RNA". It matches the Rfam family "Bacterial small subunit ribosomal RNA", at positions 524 to 776 of the family's 1533-position model. The record is from RNAcentral.